RNAcentral lists this ribosomal RNA (448 nucleotides) under uncultured bacterium. RNAcentral's name for it is "bacterial SSU rRNA". It matches the Rfam family "Bacterial small subunit ribosomal RNA", at positions 330 to 795 of the family's 1533-position model. The record is from RNAcentral.
CCCAGACUCCUACGGGAGGCAGCAGUGGGGAAUAUUGCACAAUGGGGGAAACCCUGAUGCAGCGACGCCGCGUGAGUGAAGAAGUAUUUCGGUAUGUAAAGCUCUAUCAGCAGGGAAGAUAAUGACGGUACCUGACUAAGAAGCCCCGGCUAACUACGUGCCAGCAGCCGCGGUAAUACGUAGGGGGCAAGCGUUAUCCGGAUUUACUGGGUGUAAAGGGUGCGCAGGUGGCAGGGCAAGUCAGAUGUGAAAGCCCGGGGCUCAACCCCGGUAUUGCAUUUGAAACUGUCCGGCUAGAGUGCAGGAGAGGUAAGCGGAAUUCCUAGUGUAGCGGUGAAAUGCGUAGAUAUUAGGAGGAACACCAGUGGCGAAGGCGGCUUACUGGACUGUAACUGACACUGAGGCACGAAAGCGUGGGGAGCAAACAGGAUUAGAUACCCUGGUAUAC